GAUGAAGAACGUAGCGAAAUGCGAUAAGUAAUGUGAAUUGCAGAAUUCAGUGAAUCAUCGAAUCUUUGAACGCACAUUGCGCCCGCCAGUAUUCUGGCGGGCACGCCUGUCUGAGCGUCAUUUCAACCCUCAUGCCCCUAGGGCGUGGUGUUGGGGAUCGGCCAAAGCCCGCGAGGGACGGCCGGCCCCUAAAUCUAGUGGCGGACCCGUCGUGGCCUCCUCUGCGAAGUAGUGAUAUUCCGCAUCGGAGAGCGACGAGCCCCUGCCGUUAAACCCCCAACUUUCCAAGGUUGACCUCAGAUCAGGUAGGAAUACCCGCUGAACUUAAGCAUAUCAAUAAGCGGAGGA
Molecule: unclassified non-coding RNA, 348 nt
Filed under: soil metagenome
Description: partial contains 5.8S ribosomal RNA, internal transcribed spacer 2, and large subunit ribosomal RNA
Rfam family: 5.8S ribosomal RNA (bases 1-120)
Source: RNAcentral